AUGGCUUCAGGGCCUUGGGCUGAGAUGAAGUGUAACGUCUGUUCUUUUCGGUUUAAUUUCAUAUAGUCCCCUGUCUAAAGACAGUAGAGUAAUUUGAUGAAAUAGGGACUUGCACCAUCCAAUUCCCAGCGUGACCUUGUAUUGCAGAGUGUGCAGGAGUGCUGCACUGUUG
Molecule: small nuclear RNA, 172 nt
Filed under: Mus caroli (Ryukyu mouse)
Lineage: Eukaryota; Metazoa; Chordata; Mammalia; Rodentia; Muridae
Description: predicted gene, 23260 (MGP_CAROLIEiJ_G0035524.1)
Source: RNAcentral